CCUAACCUAAGCUAACAUGACAAUUAAAUUAACUCAACUAAACAAAAUAGACAAUAUUAAAGUAAACAGAAACAAUUAAACCAAACAUAUUAGACAUCAUUAAAGUGAAUGAAAACACUAAACUGAAAUAUUAAGGUGCGUGAAGAGUAAAAUAAAAUGAAAAUCCAACGAGUAAGCCAAAUGACGAGACACUGAUUGAAACGACUAUCAAUGCAAGACUCUGUAAAAUUCAAGUAAUGAGCCAAAAUGAGAAUUGAUGAUUGUUACCAUGCUCAUCCAUCAACGAACAACAUUUAGAACAAAAAUUAAAUACUUGAACAGUAGAGUUAAAGUGAAAAUGAGUAAGGUACUUUUCUAAAAGCCAAAAUUUAAGUCUACUAAUAAAAAUGGACGUGACAACUCCCUUCAAAAUGAAUGGUCUAUCUCUAAACAAAAGAGUUGCUUCUGCCUCCUACGUAACCUGUGAGCUUCUUCCAGUACGUUGCUUCCUCCCAGGCGGUGACACCAUGUGCGCCAUUGAUGAGAAUUCAAUUCCCCAUGGGUGGCGGCUUGCGUGACAGCACACUCUCCUUUUAUAUCCUCCCAAUGUGCCUUUCCUUUUUCCCGACCUACUCCAUGUGUUUCCACAUUGCUGGACAUCCAACAUUCAUUGCCCAUGGGUCAGCUUGCUUCUAGCGUGGGUGUGCUUUUGUGGGUGCUGCUGGACACACCUCCUCAAGACCGUGACAGCACCUCUUCAAGCUACUGGAUUGUUGACUCUGGACUGCUGCUGCCCAUUUCUCUCUAAUUGGAUCAGCGCUUGCAGCCCACUUGCCAAGACGUGAUCUCCUUGUUGGACCGUUUCAAGCUGGAUAGGAGCUGCUGUGUGCGUGGGCCGUGAAGUGUUGCUGCUGUACGCGUGGAGCUGUGGCUGGAUGAAGCCCGUUUCAUUUUCUCUUCUUGCUGGAGGUUCUGCUGGCCGUGUGCACCUCCCAUGCUUUGAUGGAC
RNAcentral lists this long non-coding RNA (987 nucleotides) under Vigna radiata. RNAcentral's name for it is "long non-coding RNA (VRAD_LNC015336)". Lineage: Eukaryota; Viridiplantae; Streptophyta; Magnoliopsida; Fabales; Fabaceae. The record is from RNAcentral.